This is a non-coding RNA of Notechis scutatus (mainland tiger snake), 256 nucleotides long. The record is from RefSeq and is a predicted model, not a curated record. Lineage: Eukaryota; Metazoa; Chordata; Lepidosauria; Squamata; Elapidae.
GUUGACCUGGGCUGUGGGAAGGCUCUGCUGGUGAAAGAAAAUGGAGAGUUUUAUGCCAUGGGCCACAAGUGUCCUCACUACGGCGCCCCACUGGUGAAAGGGGUCUUGUCCAAAGGCCGGGUCCGUUGCCCCUGGCACGGGGCUUGCUUCAACAUCGGCACUGGUGAUAUCGAAGACUUCCCAGGGCUGGAUAGUCUCCCCAAAUUCCAGGUGAAAAUCGAGAAGGAAAAAGUGUACAUCCGAGCAAGCAAACAGG